GUCUACUGCCACACCACCCUGAACGUGCCCGAUCUCAUCUGAUCUCAGAAGCUAAGCAGGAUCGGGCCUGGUUAGUACUUGGAUGGGAGAAAAGAAACUUUUCCAAAGAAGACA
This 114-nucleotide ribosomal RNA is filed under the name Microcebus murinus (gray mouse lemur). Lineage: Eukaryota; Metazoa; Chordata; Mammalia; Primates; Cheirogaleidae. The record is from RNAcentral.